RNAcentral lists this ribosomal RNA (802 nucleotides) under Candida tropicalis. Its description in RNAcentral is "LSU rRNA". It matches the Rfam family "Eukaryotic large subunit ribosomal RNA", at positions 1 to 785 of the family's 3401-position model. The record is from RNAcentral. Lineage: Eukaryota; Fungi; Ascomycota; Pichiomycetes; Serinales; Debaryomycetaceae.
UAUUUUGCUAGUGGCCACCACAAUUUAUUUCAUAACUUUGACCUCAAAUCAGGUAGGACUACCCGCUGAACUUAAGCAUAUCAAUAAGCGGAGGAAAAGAAACCAACAGGAUUGCCUUAGUAGCGGCGAGUGAAGCGGCAAAAGCUCAAAUUUGAAAUCUGGCUCUUUCAGAGUCCGAGUUGUAAUUUGAAGAAGGUAUCUUUGGGUCUGGCUCUUGUCUAUGUUUCUUGGAACAGAACGUCACAGAGGGUGAGAAUCCCGUGCGAUGAGAUGAUCCAGGCCUAUGUAAAGUUCCUUCGAAGAGUCGAGUUGUUUGGGAAUGCAGCUCUAAGUGGGUGGUAAAUUCCAUCUAAAGCUAAAUAUUGGCGAGAGACCGAUAGCGAACAAGUACAGUGAUGGAAAGAUGAAAAGAACUUUGAAAAGAGAGUGAAAAAGUACGUGAAAUUGUUGAAAGGGAAGGGCUUGAGAUCAGACUUGGUAUUUUGUAUGUUACUUCUUCGGGGGUGGCCUCUACAGUUUAUCGGGCCAGCAUCAGUUUGGGCGGUAGGAGAAUUGCGUUGGAAUGUGGCACGGCUUCGGUUGUGUGUUAUAGCCUUCGUCGAUACUGCCAGCCUAGACUGAGGACUGCGGUUUAUACCUAGGAUGUUGGCAUAAUGAUCUUAAGUCGCCCGUCUUGAAACACGGACCAAGGAGUCUAACGUCUAUGCGAGUGUUUGGGUGUAAAACCCGUACGCGUAAUGAAAGUGAACGUAGGUGGGGGCCCGUAUGGGUGCACCAUCGACCGAUCCUGAUGUCUUCGGAU